AAUGGGGAAACCCACUUGUCAUAAGACAGGUAUCGUAAAUUUAUUUACGAGGCAAACCGGGAGAAGUGAAACAUCUCAGUAACCCGAGGAAAAGACAUCAAUAGAGAUUCCCCUAGUAGCGGCGAGCGAACGGGGAGGAGCCGACUGAUUAUAAUUUAGAGGAAUGACUUGGAAAGGUCAAUCGUAGAGGGUGAUAAUCCCGUACUCGAAAGGUUAUAAGAAGCAUAUUAAGUAGGGCGGAACACGAGAAAUUCUGUCUGAAGAUGGGGGGA
This 272-nucleotide ribosomal RNA is filed under the name Heterosigma akashiwo. RNAcentral describes it as "partial Bacterial large subunit ribosomal RNA". It matches the Rfam family "Bacterial large subunit ribosomal RNA", at positions 117 to 452 of the family's 2925-position model. The record is from RNAcentral. Lineage: Eukaryota; Raphidophyceae; Chattonellales; Chattonellaceae.